AUACAGGUUUUUUUCAAAACCAUGUCAAAAAGAGAUACACUAAUUUU
Balearica pavonina (black crowned-crane) is the source of this 47-nucleotide non-coding RNA. The record is from Rfam. Lineage: Eukaryota; Metazoa; Chordata; Aves; Gruiformes; Gruidae.